Molecule: long non-coding RNA, 1155 nt
Filed under: Vigna radiata
Lineage: Eukaryota; Viridiplantae; Streptophyta; Magnoliopsida; Fabales; Fabaceae
Description: long non-coding RNA (VRAD_LNC015994)
Source: RNAcentral
AAAACAAUCACAAUUCAUUCUCAUCACCCAACCAUUCGCGGCAGAUUGCAAGUAAAGAUAAAGUGCAAAAGUGGAAACCUUCCUUGAGUCAAGACAAGCAUAUUUUUUGUUGGUCCGAAAAUGGUAAAAACUUAAAUGCAUUCCUCUCUCUUCUUUUCCUUGUCCAUUUCGGUUUUCUUACUCUGCAACACUCUCCUCCAGCUCUUUCUUCUUCCUCACACAGAAAACACACACCCAAGAAACCCCAUUUCAAAGUUCAACUCCAUUCAAGACAAUAAACCCACACUACUACUACUUCAACUCAACCCAAUCUUCCUUUUUUUUUAAGCUUUUGUGCAAAAACGAAAAUAACAUUAUACCAUUCACCUCAAUCAAUGUCCAGCCCCAAUAACAUCAUCAAACUCUUGUUCCAAACUAUUUUCAAACAUCAAAACCGAAAUAUAGAAGAAAAGAGCCAAACCCACAACACCCAUACAACACCUUAAGCUCUCUUUAACCCAAAACUCACAUAGAACCCCAUUUUCAUCAACCAACCAACCAAAAUGCAAAGAAAAACGUGAGGAACAGCAGUAAAGGAGAGGAAAAACGAAAAUCUAAAGUCACUCAGACCCAACAAUCCCCAUGGAAAUGCAAAGAAAAGCUUAAAAGCUCAAGCUUCAAACAUCAAAAACAAGCAAAUGGAAGAAGGAAUGGAUGGAUUUUCACCACAAAUGAGUUAAGACAACUAAGAAUGAGUCAAGGGAAGAAGAAAAUCUUCAUCAUCUUCAUUAAAAAUGGUCCAAAACCGUGGCACCAAGCAAGCACCCAUGGGAGCAUGUUCAAACAAGAGAAACCCUAGGAGAAUGAAACUAAAAACGUAGGAUAUGGGUUUCUAAGUGUGUGGCUCGAUAUUCACACCCUAUAUGACCAAGAAUUACAAUUUGGUAGGUCCACACACUACAAGUCAGCCCUAAAGAGAUGCCACAUGGCCCCCACAUUUGGUUUUUACAAAAAUGCCCCUAAAGGGGUCCAAAACACCUAAUUCUAAUUAAGGGCUUCUAGAAAACGAAAUUACAACUUAAUUAAAAAGGAAAUGACUAAAUGUUGAGUCUUGAAUGAUCACGCCACCUUCCCUAAUGCUCCAAAUGAUGUUUCCCAAAAUUUCCCUACAACCAA